UAAAUAAAUUUAAUUUUUUUUAUUGGUAAUAUGAAUAAAAAUUUUAAGUUUUUUAUUUAUUUUAGUUUUAGAAUAAAUUCUUAGGUGUUGACAAAAACAAAAUAUAUUUUAGGUCAUUUUUUUUUUGAAACACAAUUUUUGGCCAUUAAAUUGGGUUUUGUUUAUAUUAAUGCUGGCACAUAUCAUUAGCUGUAUAUUGGAUUUCUAAUUAGCUUAAUAAUGUUAGCCCAAUUUAAUAACAGAAAGGUAGGCAAACGACUUUCCUCUUUCUAUCGACUUCUCAUUCUCCCAUAUUUUUUUCCUCUUUGCUGAACCCUAUUGCAUGUUGUUUGAUCCAUGAAACUGGAAAAUAUAUCUAUGGAAGAAGAUAUAAGAAAUCAGUUUGAUCUUUAGUUCUGCAGUCUCUUCUAUGAUCAAGAAUAAGAUCAGACAGUAGGAAUCCGGCUUAGUUAACAGAUAUAUAGGUUCGAUUGCAUGUAAUGAAUCAAUCGAAGUUCGAUUUGAUAUACUGUUCGAAAGAAGAAUCAAAAAAACAAAUUUAAGGCAGGAGUAGACAGAGCUGGUCUUAGUCAUCUUUUCAAGUGCAUGUCACGACGAAGUACCACUGCUGCUAGCAUUAACCAAAAGACGUCAGCUAAACCAAACUUAGUCAAUGCACUUGACAUCAAACAGGAGCAAAACACGGUUUGUGUUGGAACGUUAAGAGCUGAAGGGAUGGCAAUCACAUUGAUAAUAUUGGCUUACUAACUGCGUAAAUAGGGCUUGAGAUCGUCGAUAAAAACCAUAUUUCUUGGGGUAUCAUGCCAUUAUGAGUUGUAAAUGGAUGUUAGCUUCUUCUUAAUCGUCGGUAUAUAUAGAGAGGUAACUAUUUAUGGAGACUUGGAGAUAUAUUUCUUGCAGAAGUAAUUAAAAGACGUGGGAAGGAAGUUGAGCACAGAAAAUUAAGGUAAUAAUAUCUUGUAUAGAUUGCAACCGAGAUUAUAGCCAUUCAAACACUUUAUAUUGUUAUGAUAUUUUAAGGAAUCAAACGAGUUCGGUUAAUUUAAUUUUUGGGUUAGUUGUACAA
Molecule: long non-coding RNA, 1066 nt
Organism: Brassica napus (rape)
Lineage: Eukaryota; Viridiplantae; Streptophyta; Magnoliopsida; Brassicales; Brassicaceae
Exons: 8
Source: RefSeq, a predicted model, not a curated record